CAGUUCGGAUCGCAGUCUGCAACUCGACUGCGUGAAGGUGGAGUCGCUAGUAAUCGCGGAUCAGCAACGCCGCGGUGAAUGCGUUCCCGGGCCCUGUACACACCGCCCGUCAAGUCAUGAAAGUGGGCAGCACCCGAAGACGGUGGCCUAACCCUUGUGGGGGGAGCCGUCUAAGGUGAGGCUCGUGAUUGGGACUAAGUCGUAACAAGGUACC
Molecule: ribosomal RNA, 214 nt
Filed under: uncultured bacterium
Lineage: Bacteria
Description: partial 16S ribosomal RNA
Rfam family: Bacterial small subunit ribosomal RNA
Source: RNAcentral